RNAcentral lists this ribosomal RNA (505 nucleotides) under uncultured bacterium. RNAcentral's name for it is "partial 16S ribosomal RNA". It matches the Rfam family "Bacterial small subunit ribosomal RNA", at positions 28 to 507 of the family's 1533-position model. The record is from RNAcentral.
GACGAACGCUGGCGGCGUGCCUAAUACAUGCAAGUAGAACGCACAGUUUAUACCGUAGCUUGCUACACCAUAGACUGUGAGUUGCGAACGGGUGAGUAACGCGUAGGUAACCUGCCUGGUAGCGGGGGAUAACUAUUGGAAACGAUAGCUAAUACCGCAUAAUAUUGAUUAUUGCAUGAUAAUUGAUUGAAAGAUGCUAUUGCAUCACUACCAGAUGGACCUGCGUUGUAUUAGCUAGUAGGGGAGGUAACGGCUCACCUAGGCGACGAUACAUAGCCGACCUGAGAGGGUGAUCGGCCACACUGGGACUGAGACACGGCCCAGACUCCUACGGGAGGCAGCAGUAGGGAAUCUUCGGCAAUAGACGCAAGUCUGACCGAGCAACGCCGCGUGAGUGAAGAAGGUUUUCGGAUCGUAAAGCUCUGUUGUAAGAGAAGAACGGGUGUGAGAGUGGAAAGUUCACACUGUGACGGUAUCUUACCAGAAAGGGACGGCUAACUACGUG